RNAcentral lists this ribosomal RNA (460 nucleotides) under uncultured bacterium. RNAcentral describes it as "partial 16S ribosomal RNA". It matches the Rfam family "Bacterial small subunit ribosomal RNA", at positions 338 to 795 of the family's 1533-position model. The record is from RNAcentral.
CCUACGGGUGGCAGCAGUGAGGAAUAUUGGUCAAUGGACGAGAGUCUGAACCAGCCAAGUAGCGUGAAGGAUGACUGCCCUAUGGGUUGUAAACUUCUUUUAUAUGGGAAUAAAAUGUUCCACGUGUGGGAUUUUGUAUGUACCAUAUGAAUAAGGAUCGGCUAACUCCGUGCCAGCAGCCGCGGUAAUGCGGAGGAUCCGAGCGUUAUCCGGAUUUAUUGGGUUUAAAGGGAGCGUAGGUGGAUUGUUAAGGCAGUUGUGAAAGUUUGCGGCUCAACCGUAAAAUUGCAGUUGAAACUGGCAGUCUUGAGUACAGUAGAGGUGGGCGGAAUUCGUGGUGUAGCGGUGAAAUGCUUAGAUAUCACGAAGAACUCCGAUUGCGAAGGCAGUUCACUGGACUGCAACUGACACUGAGGCUCGAAAGUGUGGGUAUCAAACAGGAUUAGAUACCCUGGUAGUC